CCUACGGGCGGCUGCAGUGGGGAAUAUUGGACAAUGGGCGAAAGCCUGAUCCAGCCAUGCCGCGUGUGUGAAGAAGGCCUUCGGGUUGUAAAGCACUUUCAGUGGGGAAGAAAGCCUUGGGGCUAAUACCCUCGAGGAAGGACAUCACCCACAGAAGAAGCACCGGCUAACUCCGUGCCAGCAGCCGCGGUAAUACGGAGGGUGCGAGCGUUAAUCGGAAUUACUGGGCGUAAAGCGCGCGUAGGCGGUCUGAUAAGCCGGUUGUGAAAGCCCCGGGCUCAACCUGGGAACGGCAUCCGGAACUGUCAGGCUAGAGUGCAGGAGAGGAAGGUAGAAUUCCCGGUGUAGCAGUGAAAUGCGUAGAGAUCGGGAGGAAUACCAGUGGCGAAGGCGGCCUUCUGGACUGACACUGACGCUGAGGUGCGAAAGCGUGGGUAGCAAACAGGAUUAGAUACCCGUGUAGUC
RNAcentral lists this ribosomal RNA (465 nucleotides) under Vreelandella stevensii. RNAcentral describes it as "partial 16S ribosomal RNA". It matches the Rfam family "Bacterial small subunit ribosomal RNA", at positions 338 to 795 of the family's 1533-position model. Lineage: Bacteria; Pseudomonadati; Pseudomonadota; Gammaproteobacteria; Oceanospirillales; Halomonadaceae. The record is from RNAcentral.